RNAcentral lists this transfer RNA (76 nucleotides) under Actinomycetes bacterium. RNAcentral's name for it is "Actinobacteria bacterium (groundwater metagenome) tRNA-Thr". It matches the Rfam family "tRNA". Rfam says of the family: Transfer RNA (tRNA) molecules are approximately 80 nucleotides in length. Their secondary structure includes four short double-helical elements and three loops (D, anti-codon, and T loops). RNAcentral also lists the same sequence under 1 other name. The record is from RNAcentral. Lineage: Bacteria; Bacillati; Actinomycetota; Actinomycetes.
GCCGACGUAGCUCAACUGGAAGAGCAGCGCACUUGUAAUGCGCAGGUUGUGGGUUCGAGUCCCUCCGUCGGCUCCA